UCGAGAAUCUUCGGCAAUGGGCGAAAGCCUGACCGAGCGACGCCGCGUGCGGGAUGAAGGCCCUUGGGUUGUAAACCGCUGUCAGAGGGGAUGAAGUGCCAGGUGGUAAUUAAUAAUCCACUUGGUUUGACAUAGCCUCAGAGGAAGCACGGGCUAAGUUCGUGCCAGCAGCCGCGGUAAUACGAACUGUGCAAACGUUAUUCGGAAUCACUGGGCUUAAAGGGUGCGUAGGCGGCUGUCUAAGCAGGGUGUGAAAGCCCCCGGCUCAACCGGGGAAUUGCGUUCUGAACUGGACGGCUGGAGUGGGAUAGAGGUGUGCGGAACUUCCGGUGGAGCGGUGAAAUGUGUUGAUAUCGGAAGGAACGCCGGUGGCGAAAGCGGCACACUGGGUCUCAACUGACGCUGAGGCACGAAAGCCAGGGGAGCGAACGG
This 432-nucleotide ribosomal RNA is filed under the name uncultured bacterium. RNAcentral describes it as "bacterial SSU rRNA". It matches the Rfam family "Bacterial small subunit ribosomal RNA", at positions 355 to 775 of the family's 1533-position model. The record is from RNAcentral.